Molecule: ribosomal RNA, 301 nt
Filed under: uncultured bacterium
Lineage: Bacteria
Description: partial 16S ribosomal RNA
Rfam family: Bacterial small subunit ribosomal RNA
Source: RNAcentral
CAGUCGCCGCGGGAAUACGGAGGGAGCUAGCGUUGUUCGGAAUUACUGGGCGUAAAGCGCGCGUAGGCGGUUACUCAAGUCAGAGGUGAAAGCCCGGGGCUCAACCCCGGAACUGCCUUUGAAACUAGGUGACUAGAAUCUUGGAGAGGUCAGUGGAAUUCCGAGUGUAGAGGUGAAAUUCGUAGACAUUCGGAAGAACACCAGUGGCGAAGGCGACUGACUGGACAAGUAUUGACGCUGAGGUGCGAAAGCGUGGGGAGCAAACAGGAUUAGAUACCCCCGUAGUCCCUGUCUCUUAUAC